RNAcentral lists this ribosomal RNA (554 nucleotides) under Einhornia moskvikvendi. Its description in RNAcentral is "partial 12S ribosomal RNA". The record is from RNAcentral. Lineage: Eukaryota; Metazoa; Bryozoa; Gymnolaemata; Cheilostomatida; Electridae.
GUUUGGAGGUAUUAUGGUAAAACUUAAAUUUGAAGAAGUUAAUAAAUAAAUUUUGGGUCAAAUUUUAAUUCAUUUUUAACCCCUCUUCUUGCACAAAAAGAUGUUUAGUCCGUGAAAAUUAAAGGUGGAACUAGGAUUAGAUACCCUAUUACUAUUAGUAGUAAAUUUAAUAAUGCCUGGGGAUUACGAAUGCUUUCGUUUAAAACUUAAAGAGCUUGGCGGUUCUGCAUAGCACCAGGGGGGCCUGUCACGUAAUCGAUAAUCCGCGUAAAUUUUCACCUGCCUUAGUAAAUCAGCUUGUAUACCACCGUCUAGUUAACCUUUAAGAGAGAAAGAGUUAGCGAAAUAGUUUUAAAUAAGCUAAAAACUCAGGUCAAGGUGUAGCUUAUAGGUAGGGAGUAGAUUUGCCACGUUUAAUAUUGUUGAUUGAAAAGAGCCAGUAAACUGGCUCUGGAAAUAGUACUUGGAAGUAAUAAAUUGUUUAGAAAGCAUUUGUGAAAAUUUUCUGCAGAGUGUACAAAUCGCCCGUCAAUCCUCCCGGUUAGGGAGGAUAA